UCUAAGGAUAAUUUCGGAAACCUGCACUUUAUCUAUCGUAAACUUUGUUUAGUUUUGAGAGGUUUACUCUUAAAACAUGGGGCUUUAGCUCAGCUGGGAGAGCGCCUGCUUUGCACGCAGGAGGUCAACGGUUCGAUCCCGUUAAGCUCCAUUGAUAACAUUAGUUAUCAAACUUGUUCUUUGAAAACUAGAUAAUAUCUUUUAUUUCUUUGUUAAUUAAAAUAACCGAGAACACCGCGUUUUAAAGAGUUUAAAACAUUAAUGUUUAAUCGCUAAACUCAUAACCAUUAUCGUAAGAUAAUAU
Molecule: transfer RNA, 304 nt
Filed under: Ligilactobacillus animalis
Lineage: Bacteria; Bacillati; Bacillota; Bacilli; Lactobacillales; Lactobacillaceae
Description: Lactobacillus animalis 16S/23S rRNA intergenic spacer
Rfam family: tRNA (bases 79-151)
Source: RNAcentral